This 421-nucleotide ribosomal RNA is filed under the name Angiostrongylus cantonensis (rat lungworm). RNAcentral's name for it is "partial small subunit ribosomal RNA". The record is from RNAcentral. Lineage: Eukaryota; Metazoa; Nematoda; Chromadorea; Rhabditida; Metastrongylidae.
GUUGGUUUUUACGAAUUUUAGGUAAAAUUAAAAUUUAUAUUUAAAGGUUUUUUAUGUCAUUAAGAUUUUUGAAGGCGAAUUAGAUUAGUACCUAAUUAGUGAAAAAUUAAAUGUUCAGGAGUAAAGUGGUAUUUAAACUGAAAGAAUAUUGGCAGAUUUUCUAAAUUAUCUUUGGAGGUUGAGUGAUAAUUGAGAACCCUCAUUAACUACUGGUUUUUUGGCUUAUGUAUGAUCGUUUAUUUUAAGCUUAAGGUUUAGGAUUUUAGGUUGACUGUAAAAAUAGAUAUAUAUUUAGUUUAUGAUUAAGUUAAUUUGACCUACAAUAUUUUGAAUUGUGUGGAUUAUUAAGUUAGUAUUAGUAUGAAAUUGUAAAAGACAGUAAGAAAGUUUUUAUAUCUUUUUGAAGAGUAUUUAGAAAUGG